Molecule: ribosomal RNA, 207 nt
Filed under: uncultured bacterium
Lineage: Bacteria
Description: partial 16S ribosomal RNA
Rfam family: Bacterial small subunit ribosomal RNA
Source: RNAcentral
UGUGUAGGCGGUUCUUUAAGUUUGGUGUGAAAUCUCCCGGCUCAACCGGGAGGGUGCGCCGAAUACUGAGGGACUAGAGUGCGGGAGAGGAAAGUGGAAUUCCUGGUGUAGCGGUGAAAUGCGUAGAUAUCAGGAGGAACACCGGUGGUGUAGACGGCUUUCUGGACCGUAACUGACGCUGAGACACGAAAGCGUGGGUAGCAAACA